RNAcentral lists this long non-coding RNA (251 nucleotides) under Ananas comosus (pineapple). RNAcentral describes it as "long non-coding RNA (ACOM_LNC021846)". Lineage: Eukaryota; Viridiplantae; Streptophyta; Magnoliopsida; Poales; Bromeliaceae. The record is from RNAcentral.
CAAAAUCACCAACGAUCUAAGUUCCCAUCAAUCUCACAUUUCUAGAUAACAAGCCGACUUUAAUACUAAAUAUGAAGAUCCAACUCACUGGUAUAAAUAAUUUAUUAAACGUUAAACAAUCGGUCCAAAAUAUUUAAGUUCAAUUAUAAAUCUCUGAUCUUUAUAUUUUUAUUCACAAUUCCGUUUUCAUGUAAUGAGAGACUAUUGGUCACGCCAUAAUAUAAAAGGUUGUUUAGUUAUACGUAGUUAAU